This 19-nucleotide small nuclear RNA is filed under the name Phaeodactylum tricornutum CCAP 1055/1. RNAcentral's name for it is "snRNA PTsRNA00023b". The record is from RNAcentral. Lineage: Eukaryota; Bacillariophyta; Bacillariophyceae; Surirellales; Neidiaceae.
CAUACUUGCCUUUCACGCA